This is a long non-coding RNA of Felis catus (domestic cat), 8725 nucleotides long. RefSeq lists it as uncharacterized. NCBI's taxonomy places the organism in Eukaryota, Metazoa, Chordata, Mammalia, Carnivora, Felidae. The transcript is spliced from 36 exons. The record is from RefSeq and is a predicted model, not a curated record.
CUCAGAUGUCACUGGGAAAACAGUCUCUGGGAGGGGGGUGGCCGUGACUCGGGACAGACAUGGAGUUACUGCAGAGCUGGGGGUCGCGCCAGGGCUUCUCCAGCCCCAAACCGCUGCGUGUGGGUCCCCAUCGAGGCGAGGGGCGGCGCCCCCGACUUAGCAGUAGGCCGGUGGCCGAUUCCCUGUCAGCCCUCCCUCCUCCCCGCUGCCUCCUGGCUUGACUGGCAGCUCCAGGGGGCAGCUAGCUGGAUCACUCUGCCCAGAAUAAUCCUGGGAGGGACCGGGAGAGGGGUCACCCAUGAGAGUGUCCUUCUUCCUUCGGUUGCCCAAACGGGCCAGACCAAUCAGCUGCUCCCCAGGCCACGCUUGCCUUUCAAGGCAAGCGGGCAGAGGAAGGAGCUGGUGCCAGCUGCCCGCCUGGGACCCACGCUCACUUAGAGCGUGACCUUCUCUUCCUGGGCCCUCAGUUUACCCAGAACUGCAAGGAGGGCUUGGGCAGGGGGUGUUCUCACUCUGUUCCUAUAGCUCGGGGGUCCUGGGAGGUGCCUGAGGGGUGACCUGGGGAGCAGCGGUAAGAAGAGGGGGUUGGCUGAGCAGGUAGAGCUCAGUGACCCCACCCUGACUCAAUUCCGGAAGCUGGGGGUCCUCAUUACUAUUUAAAGAUAGUGUUAGAAAUUGGGGAUCCUCAUACUAUCUCAUUUAAAGAGAGGUCCCCGCAUGCAAGUCGUGCCUGGGAGCACAGCCUGGCUCGUCCUGUCUGUGGUUUAUCCUGUCUGACCUUGGAGCUGGAGGAGCGGGGUGGUUUCAGUGGAAUCUCUUUGGGUCCCUCUGUGCCUGGUGUGGACGGGCCAGGAGCUGUAGGCCUCGGGGCAGAGGGUUCUUGGAGAAGGGGGGUGAGGACUUGGAGGGAGAUGAGGGGGGCUUGGCCUUGAUGCAAGUGGAAGUACAGCCAGAGUGGGAGGCAGACUCCUUCCCCAGGGGAGAUGGGCCCUUUGUAAGCUGGGAGACACUCCCGACAAGGAAAGGCCUGGGAUUAUCAUGAGGACUCUUGGGACACCUGUUGUAAUUGGACGGUCAGCCCUCAGAGGACAUUUUCACGCCUGGGCCAGCUUUAAUUUCCACACUCACGCCGUGAGGCAAGCGAGUGUGCCGGAGCCCCAGGGCCGAAGUGACUUGCCCCGGAGCUCUGAUUAGCAGUGGCCGUGGCAUCGGGAGCCAGACCACGGAGCGUCCCGGCAGCAGCCGGCUGAUGAGGGAAGCUAGCGAGGGGUGGGCUGUGCACAGGUGGAGGCGAGUGCCACCCAGACGGGGGCAGUUAGAAUUCAUUUAUCGAAACUGAUGUUUCCCCGGCGUCUGCUCUGUGUCGGGCACCAUCCUCGCCGGCUGGCCCGGGACAGAGUUCCCGUUGCCCCGCCCUGAGAGAGCCCAGUUUCAGGAAGGAAGAGACGGUGUGCAAAGUCAGGUGUUCCCGUUUCCACCGUGGAAGGAGAAAGCAGGAACGCGUGCCCUGGGUCGGGGGUGGACAGUGGCCGCUUGGGGACCCCGAGGGAACCUCGGCCAGAGAGCCUGUUUCCGUUCCAUGGUAUCCGUAUGCUCAGCCUCGUGACCCGACGGGAGGCCAGAGACCAGAGGGGGCCUCGGUGUCUGCCCCCAUCGCCCUGAAAAGGUCACGUGGUCGUUGCCAACUCAUUUUGGCUAAUUUGGUUGUCGGCAGAGGGACAGGACAGCUGGCCUUGGACCUACUAAUUAUAGCCACUCGGGUGUUUGAGCGAGGUACCUAGUCCCCCAUGUCAUAUUUUUUUUCGUGCAAACGAUCCCUUUGACCUUUGUUCCUGAGUGCCGGCCGGCCAAACCCCUGUCCCAUGUAUUGCCCAGCACAGCGCCCCCCACCCCACGAACAAGCCCCCCCCCCCCCCCCGCCGGGGGGAGGUCAGCAUGGUACCUCCAUCCCAAGUCUUACCUUUGAUGCACUUGUUCAGCAGCUCUGAUCCUGUCGCCUUGUCGACUGGAAUCUGUCUUCUUUCUACAAAGUAAUCGGAUACAUGUAUUUCUUUAAUCGUGAAAGUCCGGGUCUUGGGACGUGCGUGCACGUUUCCCUGUACUAACCCCAGCCCGCUCCACAGCCUGCUUUACUGCUUCUCUCCCAGGCCUGUGUCCCAUUCCUACGUUCGGGUACGUCCAUCCUACGUCUUGAGUACUUACUAUGUGCCAGGCAGCCUGUGAAGGUGUUACUUUUAUUGUCCCCGUUUUCCAGAAGAGGAACCUGAGGCUCGGGGGCAAAUCUCGAAUCGUUCGCAGGCCUGACCUCAUUCUCCAGCCGGGCCUGCCUGAGGUCGCACCUCCCGUGGACGCGCGAGCCACCGAGUCCACGCUGGUGCUCGUGCUCAGCUCUCCCCCUGGACUCCCGAGCUCUUGGCAAGACCCCGGUUCUUGUCAGGCCCCCAGUUGGCUCUCGGCAAACGCACAUGAGAGCUGAUGUGAGUCUGGGGUCUGGGUCCCUUGUGUGACCCCGAGAAAGACUCUUGUAAGUAGCAUCUGCCCAGGCUGCUGGCCCUUCCCUCACCUGGGGCCCCGCCCAUGGGGGCCCCCGUGGUGUUCUGUCCUGCCCCUGGUGCCAGUGUGUGCCUGCUAUGCCAUCCCACCCUCCCUUGGCACACAGUAGGGCUGCAGGCAGCAGGUGAGGCCGGAGGCGGCGUCUCCGAGAGGGGGGCUCCGAGAGGCGGGCUGAACUCUGUGAGCAGUCUCUUUUCCCCCCCUCCCAGGUGGCUGGAGGUGAGACAGCUUUUCCCCCAGAAAGGGAGCAGAUGCCUGACCCAGGAUCGAAUCGAAAGGUCUGAAAAAUGCAUUUAUUUUUUCUGAGUUGUAAAUUUGGACAAUUUGCAAAUGUGUGGACCCCUCAGAAUGGAACUAACCUGAGCCUUUUAUUUUGCAGUUGAGGCUCACUGCCCCCUGGAUGGGCAGUGAGUCAGUGGAUUCCAGAGGCCAGGGUGCGGCCCAGCCCUGGCCCCUGCACCCUCGGGAUACCACACCUGCCCAGAGGGGAAUGGGACCCUCCUACGCUGACCCCACAGCAGACCAGUGCCCUCGGCCCCCUGUGUUGCCUGGAUCUGACUUCCCCUGACUGAAAAGACCUCCCAUUUUCUCCUGAGGACUGCACACUGGUUGGCGCGUUCGAAGCAGUGUCCAAAAUCUUUCCUGCAUUUUCAGGGGGGGCGCUGGGCUUACAGAAGGUGAGAGGACUUUGAGAGGUUAGUGACUUGUCCAAAUUCUGCUAGGAAGCAAGACCCAGGAUUCCAGUCCAGGACUGCUGUGAGGAUCAAACAAGAUAAUGUAUGCUAAGGCAUGCUGUGAACACUACGUGCUGGGUACAGGAGAACAGAGGCCCCAGAGUGGGUCUAUUGACGCUCUGUUGAUCGAGAUCUUGGCUGUGACCUCUCUGGCAAGUGAACCAUGGAUCAACCAACAUGAGUGAUGGUGACAGCCGUUGAAAAUGAUCCAGGGUGUUCCUUUUUUAAACGGUUGCUUUCUCUUGCACGAAAUGGGCAUGCCAUAGUUCAUUUAACCAUGCAAUAUUUAUGAGAAUUUUGAAUCUUAUUUGGAUGGAUAAGGCACAUUAAGAAAUGUAAGUAACAGUUGAUGUUCUUAAAUCUUUGGCUGGAAAGUUUUUGAGGGUGUUCAGAAAUAAGUAAAUGAAUGAAUGAAAUGAACAGAUGAAGGAAUAAAGCCAGAGAUGGCAAACAUGGGCCUAUGACAAUAAUCUCUCAUUAUCCCAGAAUUAAGAUUAUUCAGAUUCUGUGCAGUCGGUGCCUCAGUUCAAAGUCCAGACCAUCAUGAUUCGCUUCUGGUUUGGAUGUGACUCUCCUCAUGCAGAAACUUCUAGAGAUGGGAUCUCUGUCCUCAUGGGGUAAACAGGUUGUGUUGGAAACACCUCCAUACCUCCCUGUUGGAAAGGAAGAGAAUAGGAGACAGAGAAGUGUGGAACCCUACCGGGGAAAUGAUGUGAGGUCUCCCUACCUGUGGCUGUCACUGUAUAGGAAAAAAAGAAUAAAGACAGAUGUUGGUAAUAGCCAUCAUUCAUUCUUUUUGUCCUUCUUUUUUUGUCCAUCAAAUUUGGAGUUAGUGGGGUUUUUUUGUUUAUUUAUUUAUUUUUGGUCAUGGUCAUCAUUCUUAUUUUAGGUGAUCAAUUCUAUGGUAUUCACCAGAAUAACAGUUGAGAACCAUUAAUUGGUCAAGUCAAUUAAAAAUAGAGUGCUGUUUUUGGGUCAAUGAUGAGAAGGAGGGCCAAGCAUGGACCAAUAUUGAGAAUGUGGUACAAACAAUGGAUUAUAGCUAAUCUGGGAUUUCACAAUUAACAUUAAUUUACAAAGUUUUAAAUCUAAUACCUUUCAUUUUUUUUUUUAAUACUUGGUUUCUAUUCUACAGAAAGAAUGCACUAGAGCUGAUUAGUCAUCUGUAAUGAUAAACAGCUUGCCUCUGUGGGUAAGGAGCCUGGAGGCUGAUAGUCAGCAUACCCAGUCUGAUUUAUCCACUAUCCCGUGAAGAAGAUCUUGACUGUCACUUUUAUGGAUAAGGAACAAAGUGACUCAUAAUGAAGACACCACGGUUGAUUUAAUCCUAUCUAAUGGUGAAGACUGUGGCUCUGUGGGGAAGGAGCAUUAAAUUCUGAGUCUGCAUUUUCACUAAGUGAACACACCACAGAUGAAGUAAUCAUUCUCUAAUGCUAAAGAUCUUGGCUUUAGCAAACUGUGGGGGUAAGGACAGAAGAAAUUGAUAAUGAACACACAGCUGAUUUAAUCGUUCUAUGAUCGUGAAGACAUGGUUGUGAAUUCUGGGACCGAGAAACAUAAAGACCGAGAAUGAACACUCUACCAGAUUUGAUUAUUAUCUCAUGGUGAAGAUCUUGCCUUUUACCUCUUUGGGAAAGACAGAAGAGAUAAGUAAUGGAGACCAUGGCUGAUUUAACCAGUCUCUACUGAUGAAGAGCUUGGCUGUUAUCUUUCUGGAAUGGAUGAACGAUGAAUCAAUUAUGGAGUAUAGAAACAUAAUGGAUGUGCCAGGCCAGUUGAAGCAUCUCCGUGGUCAUGAGCUGUUUGUUGCCUAGGAGCAUAGAGACCAGUAAUGGAUGCAGUUAAGCUGAUUCUCUGUGGUUGCCUCCAUUGUCAGGAACACAGACACUAAUAGUGGGCACACCAAGGUGAUGAAAGCCAUCUGCCAUGGUUACAGGCUCUAUAUGUAGGAGAUGGAGACCAGUAGUGGAUGCCCUGGAGCUAAUUUAAGGAUUCUUCCAUGGUCAAAAGGCGUCUGCUUGUCUCUGUGUGUUUGGUGUAUAGAAAUACUGGACACAUCCAAGGUGGUUUAAAUAGUAUGCCUGUAGGAACAUGGAAACCAACAAUAGGUACAUGCGUGAAGUUGGGUUGAAGCAUCUUUCAUGGUCACGAGCUCUGUGGUUGCCUUGUCUAAUGAGCAUAGAGGCCGACCAUGGAUGCACUUGAACUCACCUAGGUGUUUGGCCGUGAUCGGAUGCUCCAUGGAUGCCCCUUGCGUGUAAGAGGAUGGAGACCAAUAAUGGAACCCCAGGCUGAUUUUAGCUUCUGCUCUGAUCAAGAUCGACAUGUUGCUUCAGUGUUGGAGAGAGACCAAGGAUGGACAUACUCAGGCUGGUCGAAGAAUUCUUCCAUGGUCACAGUCGCUGUGGUUGCACCUGUGUUCCAGGUGUGCAUAGCCCAACAAAGAAAACACCUGAGCCGAUUUAAGCAUCGCCAUGUUUAGGCACUCCAGGGUAGCCUCUUGUGUGGGAGCAUGAAGUCCAACAAUCAACACAUUCCAGCUGAUUCAGACUUUUCACGGUCAAAAGGUCUCUGUGUUCGGGCCAUGGGGAUGAAUGUGGACACACGUGAACUGAUUAAGCACUUGGCUGUCAACAGGGGCUCCACUGGUCGUCCUUAUGUUGGUGCAUGUAGACCAAGAUGCCCCAAGGAGAUUUCAGCUUCUGUCAUGGUAAAGAUUGUCAAGAGACCAAGGUACCUGAACGACUAAAUAAAUGAAAUGUGGUUCGCAAGAGGCAAUGGGAUAAGGUCCCAGUUUCCUUUAUCGUCUGCUCUGCUCUGUACUCCUCGGAAUUGACGCACUCGCGCUGAUACAGGUGCUUCCAUGGUUACAUGCUUUCUGAUUGCAUACGUGUGUUUGGAGCAUAGAGACCAAUGUGAGUAGUGGUUGAAGUGUUUGUCUUUCUAGUGUCCUUUUUUUUUUUUUAAGGUGUUAACUAUAUAUCGUUAAAAAGUACAAAUCGUAAUCAAGUAGGGGCGACUGUGGAAUUGAUUCUAUUGAUUAAUAGGGGUUGAUUGUAUUGAUUAAUGCAUACACGAAAAACACUAAUUAAUGAGAGCGAUACAUCGAUCCUAUUUGUCUCCUAUAGGAGAGUGAAAAUGAUCUUACAGACGGAUUAGAGAUAUUAAGCCUCUUUUUGUGUUUUUGUGAGUAAGAGGGUCUUGAAAUUAUUAUUAGUGAAUUAAUGAAUUAGUCGAUAAAAAACUGAAUGAAGGAAAAGAGGGACAAUAAUGGAUCGAUGAUGACCACUGGUGGCGUAUGAGUCCUAUACGAUGAAUACAUGUCUGGAACUCUGAGGUCCAAAUGAAAGGCAAUCUAGUCCAGUGCCCUUUGUGAAGCGAUACCAUUAGACAGAUACCAUGAAUUUAAAGGGAUCAUGUUUUGGGUUUAUGUUCAUGCAUUCUCUAUUUUUAUAAUCAGAUCAAGGAGAUAAUCAAUAAUGUAUAAACAAGCAAAGAUUAAGGUCAUGAGGCAUUGUCCAAUUACAAAAAUAUGUAGUGAGACAAGAAAUGCUAUUAAUAUAUAUUGAAAACACACUCCCAUCCACCAAUAGUAAAUGAUACAGAGGUGUUGCCUCUUGGGCUAAGGAUUGUAUAGCUGUCGUGUUAAAUAGUAAUUGGCAAUGUUCAUAAUCCAUGUCAGCGGCAAGGUCAUUAUUGUUCUUUUAUUAGGAGAAAUUAAAUAAACAUUUCUCCCAACUGCAGAUUCCCGAAAUGACCCACUAAAUGAAAGAUAGAAUGCAAAGACCAGUGGAAAUUAGGUGUCUAGCUUUUUGUUAUCAUCUGCUCUGUUCCCUGCAGAGUGGAUGCACUCAAGUUGAUUUAAGCAUCUUCCAUGAUCACAAGUUCUAUGGCUGCAUCUAUGUGUUAGAGAGUGGAAAUCAAGAGAAGUAAGAGUCAGUGUUCUCUCAGUUUGGGAGGCUUGUUUAAGGGUAUUCACUGUGGUAUUAAAAAUGUGAAAUAUAAUCAGCGAAUGCCAACCAUUGCCCCCGAAUGCCAUUAACAUGAAGCGUUGUGUUUAUUAAUCCAUAUACAACACAUUGAGGUCAGUUAAUGAAAGAAAUGAAUUGCUCGGGGAAAUAAUUCUAUAGACAGAUGUUACAGAUUAGUUCAUGCCAACCGUGCACUAAUGAUAAAGAGUUUGAAAUGAGCAUGUUGGCUAAUCCAUACUCAAUACUGAGGUCAGUUAGCAAAGCAGAUCUUGACUAUUUUCCCUGUAGAAAAUUAUUUUAUGUACCGAAGUUAGGGGUAUUAAAGCUAUUUUUAAUAAUCUCAUGGGUAUUUUUUCUUAGUGAAUUAGUGAAUUAAUCUCUAACAAAAUUAUAAUUCAGUGAAGAAAAAGAGUGAUAUCUGGACCAAUACUGAGGGCCAGUAGCAUAUGAGGCAAGGUUGAAGAAGGCUGAUCUACAACUUUGUGAUCCAAUGCAAAUCCAGUGCAAAAAGAAAUCUAGUCCAUUGCUUCUGUGAUAAAUGGUCCUGUAAGCAGUAGUUAGAGAUAUUCAAGAAUAUUAUUCUUGGGUUUUUGAGUUUCACAAAUAUUGACUGUUUAUUAAAAAUUAAUCAAUGCAAUAAUAACUAAAAAUGUAUGAAUGAAGGAAGGGAAAAUAGGGCCAAAUGUGGAAUAGCUAUAGCAUAUGUAAUGAAACUAACAUCAUUACCAAUCCAUUUCUAAGGAACAGAAGUCCAUUAAAAAUUUAUGAAGGCGUUUACACCUCAUCAGAAGGGAUGUGUGGACAGAGAAUGGAUGCACUUGGGGUGACGUGAGCAUCGUCCAUGGCCACGAGCUCUGUGGUUGCAUGUAUGCAUUAGGAGCGUGGAGACCCAUAAUGGACGCACUCAAUGUCAUUCACGUGUCUUCAGGUUUAGUAGCUGUGUGCUUUGCAUCUGCGUCUUAGGAGCCUGGACGACAAUAAUGGAUGUGUUCCAGCUGAUAGAAGAUCAUCCAUGGUCGGGUGCACUAUGUUUUGGGGAGUAUGGAGACCAGUAAUGGGACCCGUCGAGAUUUAAGGAUUCUUCCACGGUCACGUGAUCUCGGGUUGCAUUCAUGUGUUAGGAACAUGGAGACCAUAAUGGUCGCGCUCGGCUGAAUUAGACUUUCCACCAUAGUCAUGAGCCCUGUUUGCCUCUAUGUGUUAAGAGCAUGGAUCACAACAAUGAACUCCCUAGGGAUGAUGCUCCAUGGACAUACAUUCGCCUCUGUAAUAGGGAGGAUGGAGAUUAAUUGCUUAGAAGAGACACACGGAACCUGAUUUAAAGAUUCUUCCUUGAUCUCGAACUGCAGGGUUGCAUCACCUGUUUUAAGAGACUGGAGACCAGUAAUAGAAGCUCAAGGUGAUUUCAGCCUCUCUUGUGAUCAAGGUCACCAUGUUUCCCUUCUCUAGGAAAGAGCCCAAGGCGAG